RNAcentral lists this ribosomal RNA (484 nucleotides) under uncultured bacterium. Its description in RNAcentral is "partial 16S ribosomal RNA". It matches the Rfam family "Bacterial small subunit ribosomal RNA", at positions 30 to 507 of the family's 1533-position model. The record is from RNAcentral.
AUUGAACGCUGGCGGCAGGCCUAACACAUGCAAGUCGAGCGGAUGAAGGGAGCUUGCUCCUGGAUUCAGCGGCGGACGGGUGAGUAAUGCCUAGGAAUCUGCCGGGUAGUGGGGGAUAACGUCGGGAAACGGGGGCUAAUACGGCAUCGGUCCUGGGGGGGAAAGUGGGGGAUCUUGGGACCUCCGGCUAUCAGUUGAGCCUAGGUCGGAUUAGCUAGUUGGUGGGGUAAAGGCUUACCAAGGCGACGAUCCGUACCUGGUCUGAGAGGAUGAUCAGUCACACUGGAACUGAGACACGGUCCAGACUCCUACGGGAGGCAGCAGUGGGGAAUAUUGGACAAUGGGCGAAAGCCUGAUCCAGCCAUGCCGCGUGUGUGAAGAAGGUCUUCGGAUUGUAAAGCACUUUAAGUUGGGAGGAAGGGCAGUAAGUUAAUACCUUGCUGUUUUGACGUUACCAACAGAAUAAGCACCGGCUAACUUCGUG